UACGAAAGGGGGCUAGCGUUGUUCGGAAUUACUGGGCGUAAAGCGUACGUAGGCGGAUUGUUAAGUGAGGGGUGAAAUCCCGAGGCUCAACCUCGGAACUGCCUUUCAUACUGGCAAUCUUGAGUCCGGGAGAGGUGAGUGGAACUCCUAGUGUAGAGGUGAAAUUCGUAGAUAUUAGGAAGAACACCAGUGGCGAAGGCGGCUCACUGGCCCGGAACUGACGCUGAGGUACGAAAGCGUGGGGAGCAAACAGG
Molecule: ribosomal RNA, 254 nt
Filed under: uncultured bacterium
Lineage: Bacteria
Description: partial 16S ribosomal RNA
Rfam family: Bacterial small subunit ribosomal RNA
Source: RNAcentral